AAACCGCUUAGGGAUUAAACCCGAUGAACCUGAAUAUCUGAAUUGAGAAAUUCAAUAUUAUUUUUAUUAUUAUUUUAAACAUAAUAUAAAAAUGGUAUGCACUUUUCUCAUAGUAGGACAUUGCGAUCCAUUAGUAUAAUCUUUUUAAGAUAGUUUAUCAAAUGGCCCAUUUAGUCAGUUUAUUCUAUCUGUAAUAAUUUUUAUUAAUUGUUAUAUGAGUAAUGCUAUAUCGGUGACCUGGUAAACAGCUGAUGGAGCUUAACGAUCAUGCAACCAUGUAAAUGUAUCACGGUUUAUAUAUAUUUAUAUAUAUGAAUGCAGUGAUUGCAUGUAUUUGAUCAGCAAUGCGAUAGAUUUGGGAUACCUUCGGGACCCGUCU
This 379-nucleotide ribosomal RNA is filed under the name Neuratelia nemoralis. RNAcentral's name for it is "eukaryotic LSU rRNA". The record is from RNAcentral. Lineage: Eukaryota; Metazoa; Arthropoda; Insecta; Diptera; Mycetophilidae.